GUUUUGAUACCUAGAAAAAUACACCAAAACUCAGACGUCGUCCUUAUUUUGAAGCGAACAUGUCGGCAUUUCUCUUGAAUAAUGAUCACAUCAAAAUUUAUUAUGUCAACGUUGAAUUUAAACAUUUUUCUCACCAUUGGAUAUGAACUGUAAAUGGCUUGUUAGAAGAGCAUGGACAUAUAUUAACCUAUGAUUUUCUUUUUAAAAGAAUGUAUAACUCAACAGCCAAGUUCUUCCAGUUUUUAAGGGCAUAUAAUUGUACUCAAAAGUGAUUGCAAGCCAUUGGAAACAACAUAUAAAGAGGAAAAUAUCAAUAAGCUUUUAUUAGGUCAGAUAAGGGUUCUAAGGAAAUUUAUACUUUUUCAAACUAGGGUAAUAGACCUACAGAUUUUGCAGCAGAAACAAUGGAAAGGAAAUUUUAAAUAAUGUUAUUGGAAAUAAGAUUUAAAUACAAUUUUAUCUUCCCAAGGUUUGACAAAACGCUACGCU
RNAcentral lists this long non-coding RNA (489 nucleotides) under Mytilus galloprovincialis (Mediterranean mussel). Lineage: Eukaryota; Metazoa; Mollusca; Bivalvia; Mytilida; Mytilidae. The record is from RNAcentral.